This 271-nucleotide ribosomal RNA is filed under the name uncultured bacterium. Its description in RNAcentral is "partial 16S ribosomal RNA". It matches the Rfam family "Bacterial small subunit ribosomal RNA", at positions 524 to 794 of the family's 1533-position model. The record is from RNAcentral.
GACAGAGGUGGCAAGCGUUGUUCGGAUUUAUUGGGUGUAAAGGGUCCGUAGGUCGUUUUGUAAGUCUGGUGUGAAAGCCCAUGGCUCAACCAUGGAACUGCACUGGAAACUGCAAGACUUGAGUAUCGGAGAGGUGUAGGGAAUUCUCGGUGUAAGGGUGAAAUCUGUAGAUAUCGAGAGGAACACCAGUGGCGAAGGCGCUACACUGGCCGAUUACUGACACUGAGGGACGAAAGCAAGGGGAGCAAACAGGAUUAGAAACCCUAGUAGU